RNAcentral lists this ribosomal RNA (647 nucleotides) under Streptomyces sp. RNAcentral's name for it is "bacterial SSU rRNA". It matches the Rfam family "Bacterial small subunit ribosomal RNA", at positions 75 to 735 of the family's 1533-position model. The record is from RNAcentral. Lineage: Bacteria; Bacillati; Actinomycetota; Actinomycetes; Kitasatosporales; Streptomycetaceae.
CGGCUUCGGUCGGGGAUUAGUGGCGAACGGGUGAGUAMCACGUGGGCAAUCUGCCCUUCACUCUGGGACAAGCCCUGGAAACGGGGUCUAAUACCGGAUAUGACACGGGGUCGCAUGAUCUCCGUGUGGAAAGCUCCGGCGGUGAAGGAUGAGCCCGCGGCCUAUCAGCUUGUUGGUGAGGUAGUGGCUCACCAAGGCGACGACGGGUAGCCGGCCUGAGAGGGCGACCGGCCACACUGGGACUGAGACACGGCCCAGACUCCUACGGGAGGCAGCAGUGGGGAAUAUUGCACAAUGGGCGAAAGCCUGAUGCAGCGACGCCGCGUGAGGGAUGACGGCCUUCGGGUUGUAAACCUCUUUCAGCAGGGAAGAAGCGAGAGUGACGGUACCUGCAGAAGAAGCGCCGGCUAACUACGUGCCAGCAGCCGCGGUAAUACGUAGGGCGCGAGCGUUGUCCGGAAUUAUUGGGCGUAAAGAGCUCGUAGGCGGCUUGUCACGUCGGAUGUGAAAGCCCGGGGGCUUAACCCCGGGUCUGCAUUCGAUACGGGCAGGCUAGAGUUCGGUAGGGGAGAUCGGAAUUCCUGGUGUAGCGGUGAAAUGCGCAGAUAUCAGGAGGAACACCGGUGGCGAAGGCGGAUCUCUGGGCC